CAUAUCAUAUUAAUCCAUAACUCAUCUAACUAUAACAGAAUUAGACUUGAUUGUUCAGAAUCAUAUGUUAUCACAAGCCUGAGUAUCUAAAUAUGUUUUUUAUUCAUUAUAUUAAUGU
Populus trichocarpa (black cottonwood) is the source of this 118-nucleotide non-coding RNA. The record is from Rfam. Lineage: Eukaryota; Viridiplantae; Streptophyta; Magnoliopsida; Malpighiales; Salicaceae.